Podarcis lilfordi (Lilford's wall lizard) is the source of this 2218-nucleotide non-coding RNA. NCBI's taxonomy places the organism in Eukaryota, Metazoa, Chordata, Lepidosauria, Squamata, Lacertidae. The record is from the annotation of a GenBank genome assembly.
GUUGGCAAUUGGCAGUUGGCAGUAGGCAAUUGGCAGUUAGGAGUUGGUUGCAGGGAUGCCAACAGGAAUAAAAUAUUGGGGAGGCCCAGGUUAAAAAAAAAGAAAAGGUAAAGGACCCCUGGAUGGUUAAGUCCAGUCAAAGGUGACUAUGGGGUUGUGGUGCUCAUCUUUCAGGCCAAGGGAGCCGGCGUUUGUCCACAGACAGCUUUCUGGGUCAUGUGGCCAUGACUAAACUGCUUCUGGCACAACAGAACACUGUAACGGAAACCAGAGCGCACGGAAAUGCUGUUUACCUUCCCGCCACAACGGUGCCUAAUUAUCUACUUGCACUUUGACGUGCUUUCGAACUGCUAGGUUGGCAGGAGUUGGGACAGAGCAACAGGAGCUCACCCCAUCCCAUGGAUUCGAACCGCCGACCUUCCGAUUGGCAAUCCCAAGAAGCUCAGCGCCAUCCACAUCCCCUCUGUAGGGCCAGGUAAGACCCACCCUACAUAAUUGAUCACAUGACACAGUGCACACACACACCAUUUAAAUAGCAAUCCCCACCAACUUUGGGGAGCCCAGCCCCCUCAGAUAUUUUAUUGGGGGGCUGAAGUCCUCUCAGCCCCCAAGAGUUGGCUCCUGUGGUUGGCUGGCUAUAUUCUGUGCAUUCUGCCUUGACUGUUAAUGUGAGAGGUGUGGGGACUUCCUGCAGGUGCUGUCUGGAGGAGUUUGUAAAUAACACCUGUUGCCAGCCUGACAAGUAAACAGAAAACUAUUUCUGUAAGGCAUAUAUGUUUGUCAGGUUUAGCGCUUCUUCCAAACAAGACACGGAACGCUGGCAGUUUAAGUAGCUGAGGUUUAUUUCUCAAUAACAGACUUACAGCAAGCUUCCACAACUCAUCCUUUGCCGCCAGUCAGUUGACUCAACUGGCUUCUGACCCUUCCCAAGGCUAGAUAUAUGCCACAUCUUCCCCCACCUCUGCUCUAAUCACUUGCUCCGUGUGGCGUUUGCCUCCUAGGUGGGUCAUAAGGAAAAGGUUAAAAUGAGAGUGAUGUGAUUGGCCAGUGGAAACUGAUAGGAGGAGUUAGGGUUAGAGGGGCAGUUGUGUGAGAGUCAGUUGAGAGUUGGGAGUUGGAGGAGGAGGAGGAGGGAGGAAUAGUCUGUGGGUUGGUCGAGUUGUGUGAUGAGAGAGUGAGAGGAAUGGUUAGAUGGAGUCAGAUAGAUAGAUAGUUGGGAUAAGCAGUUUGAAGUUGUUCGGAACAAAUAAGACAGUUAAGGAACUAAGAUUAAGAAACUGCCAAGAAAAAUUAACUGAAACCAUAAGCUUGUUCAUACCUAUAAAAAACUUGAUUAUUUGUUAAUGUUACCAACUGACUGGACUCCGUGUGUACCCGUGAGAAACGGGUUGGUGGCAGCGAAGAACGCAAUUACAGUGGUGGCACAGGGUCAAUAGACCGUCAAACGUCCGGGGGCCCUGUGUGAUCACCUCCUACUUCUUGGAGACUCAGGUGCAGAUGUCACGGUCCGGUUCACGGGCGAUCAAAGUCCCGACAGGGGACGUCAGGACUAGGGGCAAGAUGGCGGGGUGGGAGCAGGAAUGGGGGUCCAGAAGCCAGGAGUCAGGAAGUCAAGGGUCUGAGGAUCAAGAAGCAAGGAGUCACGAAGCCGAGGUUCAAGGAUCAGGAAGCAAGAAGCCAAAUGCAGCAAGGCAGGAAACAAGUUGCUGUGGCAAAGAACCGAAGGGAAAUGCUGACCUUAUAUCCCUUCCCAGCUCUUGCCACCAGGUGCUGUGAGUUACCAAUCGGCCUCACCUGUGAGGCUGCGCCUUGCCUCUCCAGAACAAACUUAGGAAGGCCCCAGUCCUGCAAAGUCCUAUUGGUCACAGGGCCUGGUUCCUGCACGCACACCUGACAGCAGCCAAUUUCUCCUCCUCUGGAGAUGGAGACUCAGGUGCAGCCAAUUCCUCUUCCUCUGGAGAUUCCUCUCUGCUGGACGUGUCCCUGACAAGGUUCCUCACAAAUAGCUAACAAUACCUUCCUACAGAUAAGGAAGUUAGAUUGGCUUCAACCAGAGCCAGGGCCUUUUCAACUCUGGCUCCGGCCUGGUGGAACGCCCUGCCUCAUGAGACCAGGACCCUGCAGGAUCUGAUUUCUUUCCACAGGGCCUAUAAGACAGAGUUGUUCCGCCUGGCCUUUGGCUUGGAGCCAAUUUGAUUCCCUCCCUCCCUCCCUCUCU